CUUUAUAAAUUUAAUUUAAUUUAAUUUUAUUUGUAAGUUAAAAAUCUUACAAAUUUAUAAAAGACGAGAAGACCCUAUAGAAUUUUAUAAUUUUUUAUAACUUAAUUUGGUUGUUUAAUUCUUACUAUUUAUAAUUAUUAUUUUAUUGGGGAUAUAUAAAAAUUUAAUUAAAUUUUUUUUUUAUUAUUUUAUAGAUAAAUAAAUUUUAAAAAUUAAUAUUAUUAUAUUUAAAUUAAAUUACCUUAGGGAUAACAGCGUAAUAAUUUUUAUAAGUUCAUAUUGGUAAAAUUUU
This 292-nucleotide ribosomal RNA is filed under the name Psyllaephagus sp. PIII. RNAcentral describes it as "partial 16S ribosomal RNA". The record is from RNAcentral. Lineage: Eukaryota; Metazoa; Arthropoda; Insecta; Hymenoptera; Encyrtidae.